This 509-nucleotide ribosomal RNA is filed under the name uncultured microorganism. Its description in RNAcentral is "bacterial SSU rRNA". It matches the Rfam family "Bacterial small subunit ribosomal RNA", at positions 9 to 520 of the family's 1533-position model. The record is from RNAcentral.
GAGUUUGAUCGUGGCUCAGGAUGAACGCUGGCGGCGUGCCUAACACAUGCAAGUCGAACGAAGCAAUCGGGAUGAAGUUUUCGGAUGGAUUCCUGGUUGACUGAGUGGCGGACGGGUGAGUAACGCGUGGAUAACCUGCCUCACACUGGGGGAUAACAGUUAGAAAUGGCUGCUAAUACCGCAUAAGCGCACAGUACCGCAUGGUACGGUGUGAAAAACCCAGGUGGUGUGAGAUGGAUCCGCGCCUGAUUAGCCAGUUGGCGGGUAACGGCCCACCAAAGCGACGAUCAGUAGCCGACCUGAGGGGGUGACCGGCCACAUUGGGACUGAGACACGGCCCAAACUCCUACGGGAGGCAGCAGUGGGGAAUAUUGCACAAUGGGCGAAAGCCUGAUGCAGCGACGCCGCGUGAGUGAAGAAGUAUCUCGGUAUGUAAAAGCUCUAUCAGCAGGGAAGAAAAUGACGGUACCUGACUAAGAAGCCCGGCUAAUACGUGACAGCAGCCGCCG